This 451-nucleotide ribosomal RNA is filed under the name uncultured organism. RNAcentral describes it as "partial 16S ribosomal RNA". It matches the Rfam family "Bacterial small subunit ribosomal RNA", at positions 331 to 798 of the family's 1533-position model. The record is from RNAcentral.
GUACACUCCUACGGGAGGCAGCAGUGGGGAAUAUUGGACAAUGGGCGCAAGCCUGAUCCAGCCAUGCCGCGUGAGUGAUGAAGGCCCUAGGGUUGUAAAGCUCUUUCACCGGAGAAGAUAAUGACGGUAUCCGGAGAAGAAGCCCCGGCUAACUUCGUGCCAGCAGCCGCGGUAAUACGAAGGGGGCUAGCGUUGUUCGGAAUUACUGGGCGUAAAGCGCACGUAGGCGGAUCGAUCAGUCAGGGGUGAAAUCCCAGGGCUCAACCCUGGAACUGCCUUUGAUACUGUCGAUCUGGAGUAUGGAAGAGGUGAGUGGAAUUCCGAGUGUAGAGGUGAAAUUCGUAGAUAUUCGGAGGAACACCAGUGGCGAAGGCGGCUCACUGGUCCAUUACUGACGCUGAGGUGCGAAAGCGUGGGGAGCAAACAGGAUUAGAUACCCGUGUAGUCCCAU